UCGAUCAACCACUGAGGGCAAUGCUUAGGCCAGACAAAAGUAGAUAGGCGUGUCAGCAUUCUCCAUUAGUGACCAUCAAUCCCGAUCACCCAACUUGGCAAGCUUUCUUACUGUCUUUUGCUUCGCUUUCCCAACACCCGCACAGCUUUGACUUACUUUGAUGUCACUGUAAGAAAACGUGCAAGCAGAAGUAAGUCCAUUGAUCAAGGUUGGUACAGGAAAUGCACCUGGUGACUGAAGCUGAGAAGAAGAACUGGCAGAGGUUGCCGAGAGAAGAGUACCCAAAGGCAAUGGUGUUCCACGACGGCAGAAUGGCGUUCAAGCCCACACCAAUGGCCACACUCGCC
RNAcentral lists this long non-coding RNA (347 nucleotides) under Musa acuminata (dwarf banana). RNAcentral's name for it is "long non-coding RNA (MACU_LNC006683)". The record is from RNAcentral. Lineage: Eukaryota; Viridiplantae; Streptophyta; Magnoliopsida; Zingiberales; Musaceae.